Molecule: ribosomal RNA, 253 nt
Filed under: uncultured bacterium
Lineage: Bacteria
Description: partial 16S ribosomal RNA
Rfam family: Bacterial small subunit ribosomal RNA
Source: RNAcentral
UACGAAGGGGGCUAGCGUUGUUCGGAAUUACUGGGCGUAAAGCGCGCGCAGGCGGUCUUCCAAGUCAGUGGUGAAAGCCCGGAGCUCAACUCCGGAACUGCCAUUGAAACUGUAAGACUUGAGGACGAGAGAGGUGAGUGGAAUUCCCAGUGUAGAGGUGAAAUUCGUAGAUAUUGGGAAGAACACCGGUGGCGAAGGCGGCGACCUGGUCCGUGACUGACGCUGAGGCGCGAAAGCGUGGGGAGCAAACAGG